This 253-nucleotide ribosomal RNA is filed under the name uncultured bacterium. RNAcentral's name for it is "partial 16S ribosomal RNA". It matches the Rfam family "Bacterial small subunit ribosomal RNA", at positions 524 to 776 of the family's 1533-position model. The record is from RNAcentral.
UACGGAGGGUGCGAGCGUUGUCCGGAUUUACUGGGCGUAAAGGGCGCGUAGGCGGCGCAACAAGUCACUUGUGAAAUCUCCGGGCUUAACUCGGAGCGGUCAAGUGAUACUGUCGUGCUAGAGUGCAGAAGGGGCAACUGGAAUUCUCGGUGUAGCGGUGAAAUGCGUAGAUAUCGAGAGGAACACCUGCGGCGAAGGCGGGUUGCUGGGCUGACACUGACGCUGAGGCGCGAAAGCUAGGGGAGCGAACGGG